This 413-nucleotide transfer-messenger RNA is filed under the name Caenimonas koreensis. Its description in RNAcentral is "Ramlibacter koreensis Standard tmRNA". It matches the Rfam family "transfer-messenger RNA". From Rfam's summary of the family: Bacterial tmRNA, also known as 10Sa RNA or SsrA, is named for its dual tRNA and mRNA-like properties. Its role is to liberate the mRNA from a stalled ribosome. To accomplish this part of the tmRNA is used as a reading frame that ends in a translation stop signal. RNAcentral also lists the same sequence under 1 other name. Lineage: Bacteria; Pseudomonadati; Pseudomonadota; Betaproteobacteria; Burkholderiales; Comamonadaceae. The record is from RNAcentral.
GGGGCUGCACCGGUUUCGACGUGGGUUCGGACGCGCGGCAGGGCAUGUCGAGGUUUCAGUUCCUCGUAAAACCGCUGGAAACUAAAGUAACUGCCACAAACAGCUACUCCGGUAUGGCCGCUGCGAACGAAUCUUCGUUCGCAAUGGCUGCUUAACUAAACACUAAGCAACCGCUCCGCACCAAUUCGUCGAUGGGUUGGGGCUAACAACGCAAGUUGAAGGCUGCGGAGUCAUUCACAUCGGCUGGUCUUGAUCCGGGCGCCUUGGAUCGGGACGAGAAAAUAGGACGCUGGCGUCCUGGGUAGCGUGCGACUGCGCGACCCAGGAGGCGAGACUCAAAUCAGACCGCUAAACAUGUAGAACUGUGCGAAGAAGGCUUGCGGACGCGGGUUCAAUUCCCGCCAGCUCCACCA